CAAUCAACAUCUCCUUAUGAAUACACUGUUACAUCCUAAAAUGAACAAAGGAAGAAAGAUAAACGCAUCAGCCAAAGUGGCUGUCCAGCUCUGACACAGCCACUGAGCCUGACACACAUCGUUGUUGGCAGCAGCGCAAAUUAGUGCUCCAGUGACAGCCACCCCGUGGCAGAAAUGCCUUUGCAAGUUAGGAUGCUCAGAGAUCUGUAAGCCUGGGGAAAGCACAGCCUGGAGAGAUGGAGCCGUGGCAAGCCGAGAGAGGUGAGGACAACUGGAAAACCCGACAAGAAACAUCAAAAGAGAAAUAUGAAGCUGAGAUUUGAAAAGCUUCUAGCCCUGGGGUUCUCUCUUGUCAUUUUUGAAUGCCAGAGAUGUGUAGUAUCAGAAAUAUCUUCACUCUGAGGUACUUUUGAACAUUGCUUAUCAAAUAAAUAAUAAGUUUAAUGACA
This 449-nucleotide long non-coding RNA is filed under the name Anas platyrhynchos platyrhynchos (common mallard). Its description in RNAcentral is "lncRNA (ENSAPLG00000024035.1)". The record is from RNAcentral. Lineage: Eukaryota; Metazoa; Chordata; Aves; Anseriformes; Anatidae.